GCCAGGGUUGGAGGGGGGGACGGGACGGCACGCCCGGCGCCGCUCUCACGUGGCGCGGGCACUUCCUCCCUCCCGGGUCACGUGCGGGGGGCCUGGCGGGCGCCGGAAGUGUCGCAGCGCGGCGGCGGCGGCGCACGCAGUGGGGAGGAGGAGGAGGAGGAGGUCGGUCGGUCGGUCGGUGUCGCCGGGCGCCUCCGGGGCCGCUCCCGCCGCCCCCGCCGCCAUGGGCACCAGCGGCUCCAAGUCGCGGGGGCUGUGGCCCUUCGCCUCCCCGGCGGCGGGCGGCGGCGGCUCCGAGGGUCCCGGCGGGCAGCAGGCCCUGGCCCGGGCGCGGGCCGCGCGCGCCGCCACCCCCUUCGUCUUCACGCGCCGCGGCUCCAUGUAUUACGAUGAGGAUGGGGAUCUCGCCCACGAGUUCUACGAGGAGACAAUCGUUACCAAGAACGGGAGGAAGCGCGCCAAGCUGAAGAGGAUCCACAAGAACCUGGUACCUCAGGGCAUAGUGAAACUAGAGCACCCUCGCAUUCACGUGGAUUUCCCGGUGAUCAUCUGCGAAGUGUGAGUCGCCAGACGUGUCUGCCCGCGGGCAGGAGGCCCUGCCCCACCGCCCCCCAGCCUUCACCAGGCGAGGCUGCGUCGCGUUCCCACCCGAGGAAGACUCUGGGCGCGCGGCGGGGACGAAGGCUCUCCCCUCGCCCAGAGGUGAGGCAGGACGGAGCAGGCCGGGCUGGGCUUGGCUAGCACUCCUCGCAGGCGAUGGGUGACCUUGUGCAAUGACUGCUUACAAACAUCCUCGCUUGAGUCAGAAGACUAAGAUACUUUCGUUAGCCUCUAGCCGAUGUUUGAUGGGUAACUGGAACUGCGAACGAGCUGCUGUGUUUGAGCUGUUAAAGGGAGAGCGAGCCUGCACUUCUCACCAGACAAAAUCCCCUGCUUCUCAGUUUCUCCCAGGCUGGAUCUCCUUGGGAAGGGUGUCCCUUGGGUUCCGGAGGAGAGCAGGAGCUGCUGUCCCCAGGAAGAGGAGAGAAAGCUGUGGGCUGCCCCUGCCGCCUUGCCCCGCUGCCGCCCGGGGGCUCGGGAAGCUGCACCAAACCCACCUCGGGUACAGGGGGAAGGCGGAGGAGGAGCGGGGAAGGGGUUGGUGCCUUUUUUUCUGCCCGGACUUAGGAGCCCCUCGCCUGGCUGCUGGCCAAAAAUCUGCUGACAAGGCAGGGCCCAAACCCUGGGAGGGGGCAGAGACCCAGACCGGCUCAGCGAGGAUGCUUUUGUCCUCCCUGACAGGCUGCCCACGCUUCCCCCAGGGUGUCAAACGUGUUUCCCUGCCCCCCCUCCCCCCCCCCCCUCCAAAAACCCACUCACUCUUCCACCCCACCGUGUCACCGGAGCAGCAGCGAACCUCCGCAGGCUGCCACCAAGCUGCGUCCUACCCCGCUUCUUCCCAGGCUGGUCCCCCUACAAGCAGCCAGACCCCCCCCCAGACCCCCGUUCCCUCCGCCGGCCUCCAGCCCUCCUGCAGCAAGAGGGCCUCGGGAGCACCCGGAGGGAUCUUGAAAAUGUGAAGGUCGCUGUAAAUAGUAUCUGUGUCCACUGUGGUGUUGGAGCAAGCAAAAAAAAAAAAAAAAAAAAAGGAAAGUUUUCCUUUUGAUUAUUUUCUUUUUUUUUUUACGAUUUCUGUGCGACGUCGUGCUUUCCCGUGUGGAUGUGUAGCCGAACCGUACUCACUGACACUAGGCUCCUUGCUCCUCUAGCGUGUGGGUAGGACCCGUGGGUUUGGGAAACGUACACUAUUUAUGGUCCUUCCUCCCGGUGCAUCUGUCCACUUUUGUUAAAUUUCAAUAAAAUUAUUUGUAGAGCCCA
This is a long non-coding RNA of Calidris pygmaea (Spoon-billed sandpiper), 1857 nucleotides long. The record is from Ensembl. Lineage: Eukaryota; Metazoa; Chordata; Aves; Charadriiformes; Scolopacidae.